This 76-nucleotide transfer RNA is filed under the name Clostridiaceae bacterium. Its description in RNAcentral is "tRNA-Gly". It matches the Rfam family "tRNA". Rfam says of the family: Transfer RNA (tRNA) molecules are approximately 80 nucleotides in length. RNAcentral also lists the same sequence under 1 other name. The record is from RNAcentral. Lineage: Bacteria; Bacillati; Bacillota; Clostridia; Eubacteriales; Clostridiaceae.
GCGGAAUUAACUCAAUUGGUAGAGUGUUACCUUGCCAAGGUAAAAGUUGCGAGUUCGAGUCUCGUAUUCCGCUCCA